CCUACGGUGAGCAGCAGUGGGGAAUAUUGGACAAUGGGCGAAAGCCUGAUCCAGCCAUGCCGCGUGUGUGAAGAAGGCCUUCGGGUUGUAAAGCACUUUCAGUGGGGAAGAAAGCCUUGGGGCUAAUACCCUCGAGGAAGGACAUCACCCACAGAAGAAGCACCGGCUAACUCCGUGCCAGCAGCCGCGGUAAUACGGAGGGUGCGAGCGUUAAUCGGAAUUACUGGGCGUAAAGCGCGCGUAGGCGGUCUGAUAAGCCGGUUGUGAAAGCCCCGGGCUCAACCUGGGAACGGCAUCCGGAACUGUCAGGCUAGAGUGCAGGAGAGGAAGGUAGAAUUCCCGGUGUAGCGGUGAAAUGCGUAGAGAUCGGGAGGAAUACCAGUGGCGAAGGCGGCCUUCUGGACUGACACUGACGCUGAGGUGCGAAAGCGUGGGUAGCAAACAGGAUUAGAUACCCGUGUAGUC
This 465-nucleotide ribosomal RNA is filed under the name Vreelandella stevensii. Its description in RNAcentral is "partial 16S ribosomal RNA". It matches the Rfam family "Bacterial small subunit ribosomal RNA", at positions 338 to 795 of the family's 1533-position model. Lineage: Bacteria; Pseudomonadati; Pseudomonadota; Gammaproteobacteria; Oceanospirillales; Halomonadaceae. The record is from RNAcentral.